AUGAUGUAUGUGCUUACUAUUUCCAUUUUGUGCGUUCGUAUUCUGUCUCAGAUGAUGGCGAUAUGUUGCGAGGAUGAGUGCUUCUCCAUUUUCUGUUCUAUAUGUGGUGGUCGACAUUUGUACCUCGCUCGGGCUAAUUUCUUUGGUGGUGGCUCUCGUCGUUCCAAUCCCAGUCAUGACACUGGUUCCAAGCGUCUGCGCAAUCCAGAUGAAGCACCAGAGGACUCCCCUGCCCCCAAGCGCCAUGUCAAGACAUCCGCUAGUAAGCACAAGGAACCCAGCAAGGGCAUGGACGAGAUUCCCCUAUCUGAGUUCGUCCGUCUCAGGAAGCUCAACCCGUAUGUGCAUCCUCGUGCUACUGUCAGAGGAUGUGAACUGUUUUGGAACAAGCAACAGACUCUCACUUAUCUGGAUGUCAUCAAGAACAAGAAGAAUACCUAG
Molecule: ribosomal RNA, 441 nt
Filed under: Triticum aestivum (bread wheat)
Lineage: Eukaryota; Viridiplantae; Streptophyta; Magnoliopsida; Poales; Poaceae
Description: partial small subunit ribosomal RNA
Source: RNAcentral